UUCGGGGUGGAUUAGUGGCGAACGGGUGAGUAACACGUGGGCAAUCUGCCCUUCACUCUGGGACAAGCCCUGGAAACGGGGUCUAAUACCGGAUAACACUCUGUCCCGCAUGGGACGGGGUUAAAAGCUCCGGCGGUGAAGGAUGAGCCCGCGGCCUAUCAGCUUGUUGGUGGGGUGAUGGCCUACCAAGGCGACGACGGGUAGCCGGCCUGAGAGGGCGACCGGCCACACUGGGACUGAGACACGGCCCAGACUCCUACGGGAGGCAGCAGUGGGGAAUAUUGCACAAUGGGCGAAAGCCUGAUGCAGCGACGCCGCGUGAGGGAUGACGGCCUUCGGGUUGUAAACCUCUUUCAGCAGGGAAGAAGCGAAAGUGACGGUACCUGCAGAAGAAGCGCCGGCUAACUACGUGCCAGCAGCCGCGGUAAUACGUAGGGCGCAAGCGUUGUCCGGAAUUAUUGGGCGUAAAGAGCUCGUAGGCGGCUUGUCACGUCGGAUGUGAAAGCCCGGGGCUUAACCCCGGGUCUGCAUUCGAUACGGGCUAGCUAGAGUGUGGUAGGGGAGAUCGGAAUUCCUGGUGUAGCGGUGAAAUGCGCAGAUAUCAGGAGGAACACCGGUGGCGAAGGCGGAUCUCUGGGCCAUUACUGACGCUGAGGAGCGAAAGCGUGGGGAGCGAACAGGAUUAGAUACCCUGGUAGUCCACGCCGUAAACGUUGGGAACUAGGUGUUGGC
RNAcentral lists this ribosomal RNA (732 nucleotides) under Streptomycetaceae bacterium. RNAcentral's name for it is "bacterial SSU rRNA". It matches the Rfam family "Bacterial small subunit ribosomal RNA", at positions 81 to 827 of the family's 1533-position model. Lineage: Bacteria; Bacillati; Actinomycetota; Actinomycetes; Kitasatosporales; Streptomycetaceae. The record is from RNAcentral.